Molecule: ribosomal RNA, 494 nt
Filed under: uncultured bacterium
Lineage: Bacteria
Description: partial 16S ribosomal RNA
Rfam family: Bacterial small subunit ribosomal RNA
Source: RNAcentral
GACGAACGCUGGCGGCGUGCUUAACACAUGCAAGUCGAACGGAAAGGCCUGCUUUCCCUUGUGGAUUGCGGGUACUCGAGUGGCGAACGGGUGAGUAACACGUGAGUGAUCUGCCCCCAACUUGGGUAUAAGCCUGGGAAACUGGGUCUAAUUCCCGAUAGGACUGCAGGGUGGUGCCUGUGGUGGAAAACGAUUUUCUAGUGGUUGGGGAUGAGCUCGCGGCCUAUCAGCUUGUUGGUGGGGUAACGGCCUACCAAGGCGGCGACGGGUAGCCGGCCUGAGGGGGUGGACGGCCACAUUGGGACUGGGAUACGGCCCAGACUCCUACGGGAGGCAGCAGUGGGGAAUAUUGCACAAUGGGCGGAAGCCUGAUGCAGCGACGCCGCGUGGGGGAUGACGGCCUUCGGGUUGUAAACUCCUUUCGACCGCGAGGAAGCCACCUGGUUGGAGGGGUGGUGACGGUAGUGGUAGAAGAAGCACCGGCUAACUACGUG